RNAcentral lists this transfer RNA (71 nucleotides) under Phrynosoma platyrhinos (Desert horned lizard). Its description in RNAcentral is "tRNA-OTHER". The record is from RNAcentral. Lineage: Eukaryota; Metazoa; Chordata; Lepidosauria; Squamata; Phrynosomatidae.
GCCAGUGUGGUGUAGUGGUUUGAGUGUUGGACUACAACUCCGGAGACCAGGUUCUAUUCCCAGCUCAGUCC